CCUACGGGAGGCAGCAGUGGGGAAUCUUGCGCAAUGGGGGAAACCCUGACGCAGCAACGCCGCGUGGGUGAUGAAGGCCUUCGGGUCGUAAAGCCCUGUCAGGUGGGAAGAAACUUGUGGAUGUUAAUACCAUCCAUGCUUGACGGUACCACCGGAGGAAGCACCGGCUAACUCCGUGCCAGCAGCCGCGGUAAUACGGAGGGUGCAAGCGUUGUUCGGAAUUACUGGGCGUAAAGCGCGUGUAGGCGGUCAGGCAAGUCAGAUGUGAAAGCCUUUCGCUUAACGGAAGAAUUGCAUUUGAAACUACCUGGCUGGAGUUCGGGAGAGGAGAGUGGAAUUCCCGGUGUAGAGGUGAAAUUCGUAGAUAUCGGGAGGAACACCGGUGGCGAAGGCGGCUCUCUGGCCCGAUACUGACGCUGAGACGCGAAAGCGUGGGGAGCAAACAGGAUUAGAUACCCUGGUAGUCCACGCGGUAAACGAUGGGCACUAGGUGUAGGAGGUAUUGACCCCUUCUGUGCCGAAGCUAACGCAUUAAGUGCCCCGCCUGGGGAGUACGGCCGCAAGGCUAAAACUUAAAGGAAUUGACGG
This 588-nucleotide ribosomal RNA is filed under the name uncultured bacterium. RNAcentral describes it as "bacterial SSU rRNA". It matches the Rfam family "Bacterial small subunit ribosomal RNA", at positions 338 to 916 of the family's 1533-position model. The record is from RNAcentral.